RNAcentral lists this long non-coding RNA (175 nucleotides) under Dromaius novaehollandiae (emu). Its description in RNAcentral is "lncRNA (ENSDNVG00000003694.1)". Lineage: Eukaryota; Metazoa; Chordata; Aves; Casuariiformes; Dromaiidae. The record is from RNAcentral.
UUCUCCUCUCCCUGGCUGGUGUGCUGUCCCACCUGACUGUGUUAAAGAUGCCGCUCCCCUCCACUGAGCCUGCCAUGGAGUCUCCUGGAGUACUCGGAGUCUUUGAGAGAAGACAGCAUUUGGGGGAACAGAAUUUGGGAGACCUUGUGCAGUAAAUCAGCAAGAUCACAGCAGG